RNAcentral lists this ribosomal RNA (261 nucleotides) under uncultured bacterium. RNAcentral's name for it is "partial 16S ribosomal RNA". It matches the Rfam family "Bacterial small subunit ribosomal RNA", at positions 793 to 1055 of the family's 1533-position model. The record is from RNAcentral.
GUCCACGCUGUAACGAUGAGUGCUAAGUGUUAGAGGGUUUCCGCCCUUUAGUGCUGAAGUUAACGCAUUAAGCACUCCGCCUGGGAGUACGGUCGCAAGACUGAAACUCAAAGGAAUUGACGGGGCCCGCACAAGUGGUGGAGCAUGUGGUUUAAUUCGAAGCAACGCGAAGAACCUUACCAGGUCUUGACAUCCUCUGACAACCCUAGAGAUAGGGCUUUCCCUUCGGGGACAGAGUGACAGGUGGUGCAUGGUUGUCGU